UUCCCUUUCUCUCUGCAUUUUUAUAAAGCAAACAGAAGGAGUUGUUACAGUCUCUCACAGAAAGACAUUCCCUCCACCUUUAAAUAUGUUUAUGACUUGUUUUCUGAAAGAUUGAUAAUGUCAUUUUUAAAAAUAGCUAGCUAGAGAAUGCUAGCCUUAACACUGACUCUGCAGUGUUACAAGUAUGCUUUUUUUUUGCCAUUGCAGAAGACUGUUAUGCAAACCAUUGAAAAUGAAUGUCAAAUUGCUCAUCCAGCACUUCCCAGCUGAAUCUCAGCCUUCUAGGAUAUAGUCCAUCAUUCUGAAAUUCUACUUCAUGAACUUAUCAAGCACAGAGGUGAGGCUGACUGGUUGAGAAAACUGCUGCUCAUUGGUGAAACGUGCCACAACCCAGGUUCUCAGUCUGUUCGCCAGCUGGUUGUUAAAUAAG
This is a long non-coding RNA of Passer domesticus (house sparrow), 430 nucleotides long. RefSeq lists it as uncharacterized. NCBI's taxonomy places the organism in Eukaryota, Metazoa, Chordata, Aves, Passeriformes, Passeridae. The transcript has 2 exons. The record is from RefSeq and is a predicted model, not a curated record.